GGAAAGUCGCACGGUACAGGGUGAUAGUCCCGUACACAAAAAUGCAUAUGUUGUGAGUUCGAUGAGUAGGGCGGGACACGUGACAUCCUGUCUGAAUAUGGGGGGACCAUCCUCCAAGGCUAAAUACUCCUGACUGACCGAUAGUGAACCAGUACCGUGAGGGAAAGGCGAAAAGAACCCCGGCGAGGGGAGUGAAAUAGAACCUGAAACCGUGUACGUACAAGCAGUGGGAGCACCUUCGUGGUGUGACUGCGUACCUUUUGUAUAAUGGGUCAGCGACUUAUAUUUUGUAGCAAGGUUAACCGAAUAGGGGAGCCGUAGGGAAACCGAGUCUUAACUGGGCGAAUAGUUGCAAGGUAUAGACCCGAAACCCGGUGAUCUAGCCAUGGGCAGGUUGAAGGUUGGGUAACACUAACUGGAGGACCGAACCGACUAAUGUUGAAAAAUUAGCGGAUGACUUGUGGCUGGGGGUGAAAGGCCAAUCAAACCGGGAGAUAGCUGGUUCUCCCCGAAAGCUAUUUAGGUAGCGCCUCGUGAACUCAUCUUCGGGGGUAGAGCACUGUUUCGGCUAGGGGGUCAUCCCGACUUACCAAACCGAUGCAAACUCCGAAUACCGAAGAAUGUUAUCACGGGAGACACACGGCGGGUGCUAACGUCCGUCGUGAAGAGGGAAACAACCCAGACCGCCAGCUAAGGUCCCAAAGUCAUGGUUAAGUGGGAAACGAUGUGGGAAGGCAUAGACAGCCAGGAUGUUGGCUUAGAAGCAGCCAUCAUUUAAAGAAAGCGUAAUAGCUCACUGGUCGAGUCGGCCUGCGCGGAAGAUGUAACGGGGCUAAACCAUGCACCGAAGCUGCGGCAGCGACGCUUAGGCGUUGUUGGGUAGGGGAGCGUUCUGUAAGCCGUUGAAGGUGACCUGUGAGGGUUGCUGGAGGUAUCAGAAGUGCGAAUGCUGACAUAAGUAACGAUAAUGCGGGUGAAAAACCCGCACGCCGGAAGACCAAGGGUUCCUGUCCAACGUUAAUCGGGGCAGGGUGAGUCGACCCCUAAGGCGAGGCUGAAAAGCGUAGUCGAUGGGAAACAGGUUAAUAUUCCUGUACUUGGUGUUACUGCGAAGGGGGGACGGAGAAGGCUAGGCUAGCCGGGCGACGGUUGUCCCGGUUUAAGCAUGUAGGCGGAGUGACUUGGUAAAUCCGGUUGCUUAUCAACGCUGAGGUGUGAUGACGAGCCACUACGGUGGUGAAGUAGUUGAUGCCAAGCUUCCAGGAAAAGCCUCUAAGCAUCAGGUAACAUUAAAUCGUACCCCAAACCGACACAGGUGGUCAGGUAGAGAAUACUCAGGCGCUUGAGAGAACUCGGGUGAAGGAACUAGGCAAAAUGGUGCCGUAACUUCGGGAGAAGGCACGCUGGCAUUAGGUAAAGGGACUUGCUCCCGGCGCCGAAGCCAGUCGCAGAUACCAGCUGGCUGCAACUGUUUAAUAAAAACACAGCACUGUGCAAACACGAAAGUGGACGUAUACGGUGUGACGCCUGCCCGGUGCUGGAAGGUUAAUUGAUGGGGUCAGCCGCAAGGCGAAGCUCUUGAUCGAAGCCCCAGUAAACGGCGGCCGUAACUAUAACGGUCCUAAGGUAGCGAAAUUCCUUGUCGGGUAAGUUCCGACCUGCACGAAUGGCGUAAUGAUGGCCAGGCUGUCUCCACCCGAGACUCAGUGAAAUUGAACUCGCUGUGAAGAUGCAGUGUACCCGCGGCAAGACGGAAAGACCCCGUGAACCUUUACUAUAGCUUGACACUGAACAUUGAGCCUUGAUGUGUAGGAUAGGUGGGAGGCAUUGAAGUGUGGACGCCAGUCUGCAUGGAGCCAACCUUGAAAUACCACCCUUUAAUGUUUGAUGUUCUAACUCGGCCCCGUGAUCCGGGGUGAGGACAGUGUCUGGUGGGUAGUUUGACUGGGGCGGUCUCCUCCCAAAGAGUAACGGAGGAGCACGAAGGUUAGCUAAUCACGGUCGGACAUCGUGAGGUUAGUGCAAAGGCAUAAGCUAGCUUGACUGCGAGAGUGACGGCUCGAGCAGGUACGAAAGUAGGUCUUAGUGAUCCGGUGGUUCUGAAUGGAAGGGCCAUCGCUCAACGGAUAAAAGGUACUCCGGGGAUAACAGGCUGAUACCGCCCAAGAGUUCAUAUCGACGGCGGUGUUUGGCACCUCGAUGUCGGCUCAUCACAUCCUGGGGCUGAAGUAGGUCCCAAGGGUAUGGCUGUUCGCCAUUUAAAGUGGUACGCGAGCUGGGUUUAGAACGUCGUGAGACAGUUCGGUCCCUAUCUGCCGUGGGCGUUGGAAGAUUGAGAGGGGCUGCUCCUAGUACGAGAGGACCGGAGUGGACGAAUCACUGGUGUUCGGGUUGUCAUGCCAAUGGCAUUGCCCGGUAGCUAAAUUCGGAAGAGAUAACCGCUGAAAGCAUCUAAGCGGGAAACUUGCCUCGAGAUGAGUCUUCCCUGGGGCUUUAAGCCCCCUGAAGGAACGUUAAAGACUAUGACGUUGAUAGGCUGGGUGUGUAAGUGCAGCGAUGCAUUGAGCUAACCAGUACUAAUGAUCCGUGAGGCUUAACCU
This 2600-nucleotide ribosomal RNA is filed under the name Yersinia enterocolitica. RNAcentral describes it as "partial 23S ribosomal RNA". It matches the Rfam family "Bacterial large subunit ribosomal RNA", at positions 344 to 2925 of the family's 2925-position model. Lineage: Bacteria; Pseudomonadati; Pseudomonadota; Gammaproteobacteria; Enterobacterales; Yersiniaceae. The record is from RNAcentral.